CCCUUAGAGUUUGAUCCUGGCUCAGAAUCAACGCUGGCGGCGUGCCUAACACAUGCAAGUCGAACGCGAAAGCCCCGCAAGGGGUUAGUAGAGUGGCAAACGGGUGAGUAACACGUGGGUGACCUGCCUUCGAGUGGGGGAUAACGUCCCGAAAGGGACGCUAAUACCGCAUAACAUCCUGCCUUUGAAGAGGUGGAGAUCAAAGCUGGGGACCGCAAGGCCUAGCGCUCAAAGAGGGGCCCGCGCCUGAUUAGCUAGUUGGUGGGGUAAUGGCUCACCAAGGCAACGAUCAGUAUCCGGCCUGAGAGGGCGGACGGACACACUGGGACUGAGACACGGCCCAGACUCCUACGGGAGGCAGCAGUGGGGAAUUGUUCGCAAUGGGCGCAAGCCUGACGACGCAACGCCGCGUGGAGGAUGAAGACCUUCGGGUCGUAAACUCCUUUCGAUCGAGACGAACAGCCUCCGGGUGAACAAUCCGGAGGUUUGACGGUACCGAGAGAAGAAGCCCCGGCUAACUCCGUGCCAGCAGCCGCGGUAAUACGGGGGGGGCAAGCGUUGUUCGGAAUUACUGGGCGUAAAGGGCUCGUAGGUGGCCAACUAAGUCAGACGUGAAA
Molecule: ribosomal RNA, 617 nt
Filed under: uncultured bacterium
Lineage: Bacteria
Description: bacterial SSU rRNA
Rfam family: Bacterial small subunit ribosomal RNA
Source: RNAcentral